GGCAGUGCGGCGGGCUACACAUGCAGUCGAGCGGUAGCACAGAGAGCUUGCUCUCGGGUGACGAGCGGCGGACGGGUGAGUAAUGUCUGGGAAACUGCCUGAUGGAGGGGGAUAACUACUGGAAACGGUAGCUAAUACCGCAUAAUGUCGCAAGACCAAAGUGGGGGACCUUCGGGCCUCAUGCCAUCAGAUGUGCCCAGAUGGGAUUAGCUAGUAGGUGGGGUAAUGGCUCACCUAGGCGACGAUCCCUAGCUGGUCUGAGAGGAUGACCAGCCACACUGGAACUGAGACACGGUCCAGACUCCUACGGGAGGCAGCAGUGGGGAAUAUUGCACAAUGGGCGCAAGCCUGAUGCAGCCAUGCCGCGUGUGUGAAGAAGGCCUUCGGGUUGUAAAGCACUUUCAGCGGGGAGGAAGGCGAUAAGGUUAAUAACCUUGUCGAUUGACGUUACCCGCAGAAGAAGCACCGGCUAACUCCGUGCCAGCAGCCGCGGUAAUACGGAGGGUGCAAGCGUUAAUCGGAAUUACUGGGCGUAAAGCGCACGCAGGCGGUCUGUCAAGUCGGAUGUGAAAUCCCCGGGCUCAACCUGGGAACUGCAUUCGAAACUGGCAGGCUAGAGUCUUGUAGAGGGGGGUAGAAUUCCAGGUGUAGCGGUGAAAUGCGUAGAGAUCUGGAGGAAUACCGGUGGCGAAGGCGGCCCCCUGGACAAAGACUGACGCUCAGGUGCGAAAGCGUGGGGAGCAAACAGGAUUAGAUACCCUGGUAGUCCACGCCGUAAACGAUGUCGAUUUGGAGGUUGUGCCCUUGAGGCGUGCUUCCGGGAGCUAACGCGUUAAUCGACCGCCUGGGGAGUACGGCCGCAAGGUUAAACUCAAAUGAAUUGACGGGGCCCGCACAAGCGGUGGAGCAUGUGAUUAAUUCGAUGCAACGCGAGACCUUACCUGGUCUGACAUCCACAGAACUUUCAAGAGAUGGAUGGUGCUUCGGGACUUGUGAAAAGUGCUGCAUGCUUGUCGUCAGCUCGGUGUGAAAUGUUGGUAAGUUCCCGACCAAGCACCCUAUCUUGGUGCAACGGUUCGCGGAACUCAAGAACUCGCCAUGGUAACUGAG
RNAcentral lists this ribosomal RNA (1110 nucleotides) under Klebsiella pneumoniae. RNAcentral describes it as "bacterial SSU rRNA". It matches the Rfam family "Bacterial small subunit ribosomal RNA", at positions 34 to 1165 of the family's 1533-position model. Lineage: Bacteria; Pseudomonadati; Pseudomonadota; Gammaproteobacteria; Enterobacterales; Enterobacteriaceae. The record is from RNAcentral.